CAGUAGCCGCGGUAAUACAGAGGGUGCGAGCGUUAAUCGGAUUUACUGGGCGUAAAGCGUGCGUAGGCGGCUAAUUGAGUCGGAUGUGAAAUCCCCGAGCUUAACUUGGGAAUUGCAUUCGAUACUGGUUAGCUAGAGUGUGGGAGAGGAUGGUAGAAUUCCAGGUGUAGCGGUGAAAUGCGUAGAGAUCUGGAGGAAUACCGAUGGCGAAGGCAGCCAUCUGGCCUAACACUGACGCUGAGGUACGAAAGCAUGGGGAGCAAACAGGAUUAGAUACCCGCGUAGUCCCUGUCUCUUAUAU
RNAcentral lists this ribosomal RNA (301 nucleotides) under uncultured bacterium. Its description in RNAcentral is "partial 16S ribosomal RNA". It matches the Rfam family "Bacterial small subunit ribosomal RNA", at positions 509 to 809 of the family's 1533-position model. The record is from RNAcentral.